This 497-nucleotide ribosomal RNA is filed under the name uncultured bacterium. RNAcentral's name for it is "partial 16S ribosomal RNA". It matches the Rfam family "Bacterial small subunit ribosomal RNA", at positions 28 to 507 of the family's 1533-position model. The record is from RNAcentral.
GAUGAACGCUGGCGGCGUGCCUAAUACAUGCAAGUCGAGCGAACAGACGAGGAGCUUGCUCCUCUGACGGUAGCGGCGGACGGGUGAGUAACACGUGGAUAACCUACCUAUAAGACUGGGAUAACUUCGGGAAACCGGAGCUAAUACCGGAUAAUAUAUUGAACCGCAUGGUUCAAUAGUGAAAGACGGUUUUGCUGUCACUUAUAGAUGGAUCCGCGCCGCAUUAGCUAGUUGGUAAGGUAACGGCUUACCAAGGCAACGAUGCGUAGCCGACCUGAGAGGGUGAUCGGCCACACUGGAACUGAGACACGGUCCAGACUCCUACGGGAGGCAGCAGUAGGGAAUCUUCCGCAAUGGGCGCAAGCUUGACGGAGCAACGCCGCGUGAGUGAUGAAGGUCUUCGGAUCGUAAAACUCUGUUAUUAGGGAAGAACAAAUGUGUAAGUAACUAUGCACGUCUUGACGGUACCUAAUCAGAAAGCCACGGCUAACUACGUG